This 239-nucleotide unclassified non-coding RNA is filed under the name uncultured fungus. Its description in RNAcentral is "sequence contains ITS1, 5.8S rRNA gene". The stretch from base 191 to 239 matches the Rfam family "5.8S ribosomal RNA", at positions 1 to 49 of the family's 154-position model. Lineage: Eukaryota; Fungi. The record is from RNAcentral.
UUUCCGUAGGUGAACCUGCGGAAGGAUCAUUACAGAGUUCAUGCCCUCACGGGUAGAUCUCCCACCCUUGAAUAUUAUACCUUCGUUGCUUUGGCAGGCCGUGGAAACACCAUGGGCCCCGGCUUAUGCGUGCCUGCCAGAGGAAACAAACUCUGUUUUUAGUGAUGUCUGAGUACUAUAUAAUAGUUAAAACUUUCAACAACGGAUCUCUUGGUUCUGGCAUCGAUGAAGAACGCAGC